Non-coding RNA from Cavia porcellus (domestic guinea pig), 70 nucleotides. NCBI's taxonomy places the organism in Eukaryota, Metazoa, Chordata, Mammalia, Rodentia, Caviidae. The record is from Rfam.
GGGGAUUUAGCUCAGCGGCAUAAGCGCCUGCCUUGAAAGCAGGGAGUCAUGAGUUCGAUCCUCAGUACCG